This 83-nucleotide ribosomal RNA is filed under the name Bison bison bison. The record is from RNAcentral. Lineage: Eukaryota; Metazoa; Chordata; Mammalia; Artiodactyla; Bovidae.
GUCUACGGCCAUACCACCCUGAACGCGCCCGAUCUCGUCUGAUCUCGGAAGCUAAGCAGGGUCGGGCCUGGUUAGUACUUGGA